UACGGGAGGCAGCAGUGGGGAAUAUUGCACAAUGGGCGCAAGCCUGAUGCAGCCAUGCCGCGUGUAUGAAGAAGGCCUUCGGGUUGUAAAGUACUUUCAGUCGUGAGGAAGGUGUUAAGGUUAAUAACCUUAGCAAUUGACGUUAGCGACAGAAGAAGCACCGGCUAACUCCGUGCCAGCAGCCGCGGUAAUACGGAGGGUGCGAGCGUUAAUCGGAAUUACUGGGCGUAAAGGGCACGCAGGCGGUUAAUUAAGUUGGAUGUGAAAUCCCCGGGCUUAACCUGGGAAUGACAUUCAAGACUGGUUAGCUAGAGUCUUGUAGAGGGGGUAGAAUUCCAUGUGUAGCGGUGAAAUGCGUAGAGAUGUGAGGAAUACCGGUGGCGAAGGCGGCCCCUGGACAAAGACUGACGCUCAUGUGCGAAAGCGUGGGGAGCAAACAGGGAUUAGAUACC
This 452-nucleotide ribosomal RNA is filed under the name uncultured bacterium. RNAcentral's name for it is "bacterial SSU rRNA". It matches the Rfam family "Bacterial small subunit ribosomal RNA", at positions 340 to 786 of the family's 1533-position model. The record is from RNAcentral.